AUAGUGCCGGAAGACAGAGGGGUUUUCGUCGCCAGGCCAGCAAAGGCGCCAGGUCAGAUGGAUUUGAUACUAAUUUACUUAAAACGCUUGAAUCUGACGCUUAUGAAAAGAGAUACAACACUGGCCUCUGAUGUCUCCUAAGGCUAUCCUGUAACAAAGCCACUCCAGCAGAAGGCAGAAUAGCACAACACACACAGCAGGGAAAAUAUGCAUGUCUCAAAACAGAAUCCUAAUAAAAAAGAUUCACUGAUAAUUGUUUGCUGUAAAAAUGGCAGAAUUCCUAACAAACAUUAUUCCUAAUGAAGUAUUCCACCAGCUCUACAAACAAACAGGACUUUCUUAGUUAUCUGCCAUUAAAGUCUUGUAAACCAUUGUU
Long non-coding RNA from Malaclemys terrapin pileata, 376 nucleotides. RefSeq lists it as uncharacterized. The transcript is spliced from 2 exons. The record is from RefSeq and is a predicted model, not a curated record. NCBI's taxonomy places the organism in Eukaryota, Metazoa, Chordata, Testudines, Emydidae.